AAAAUGACGAUGACAGGGAAUAGUAAGCUGAUCCUCAGGCUAUAGAGAACCGCUGUUUGGUGUGAGGCGGUCGAAGAGGCAAGUGGAACUCACCCUGGAGUUGCCGACCGAAAUCAUUUUAGAAAGUAGGCUCGGACGGAACUUCAACCGUUAAAAUGAAGGGGAUAUCGGAUCUUAAGAUCCCGCAUCCUGAUGGAGUGAACGGCAUUAGCCGUUAAUUUGAGUGGUACCGCGGAGUUUAACCCUUCGUCUCAGAG
This 257-nucleotide non-coding RNA is filed under the name Syntrophomonas wolfei. RNAcentral's name for it is "T-box sequence". It matches the Rfam family "T-box leader". From Rfam's summary of the family: Uncharged tRNA acts as the effector for transcription antitermination of genes in the T-box leader family. T-boxes are found upstream of many aminoacyl-tRNA synthetase genes and some amino acid biosynthetic genes usually in Gram-positive bacteria. The record is from RNAcentral. Lineage: Bacteria; Bacillati; Bacillota; Clostridia; Eubacteriales; Syntrophomonadaceae.